Molecule: transfer RNA, 75 nt
Filed under: bacterium ADurb.Bin431
Lineage: Bacteria
Description: tRNA-Arg
Rfam family: tRNA
About the family: Transfer RNA (tRNA) molecules are approximately 80 nucleotides in length.
Source: RNAcentral
GCGCCCGUAGCUCAACUGGAUAGAGCAUCUGGCUACGGACCAGAAGGUUGGGGAUUCGAGCUCCUCCGGGCGCGC